CCGGAGCCGCCCGCUGUUGGAGCCGCUGCAGGUCGCGUCGGAGCCGCCGCGGGUCGCCAGCGCCCUUCGCCGUAGUUCGCCGUUAGCGUCAGAUCAAUCUCUGUUUUGGGGAUGAUGAAGCACAUUAAGGAAUAAGAGGCAUAUGAGGUUCUGAUGUAGCCGGGUUCGCCGUUACCGCCGAAUUGGGACUGCUCAAUUGGUUCUGGACAAUACAACAAAAGAAAUGUGCAUAUUGUCCACAUCUGCAGGUUGUUAAUUCAUCAAAGGCGGCUACUAAGUAUACAUACCGUGUUCAUCUCGCCUGCCUUCUUAGGAAAAAUCCUAUACUCAAGAUGCUCACCGAAUUGCGGAGAAUGGCUCAUUUUUCAGCCCAAUUCUGACACAUACCGUACCAGGCCAAAGUAUUUUCCUUUUAGAUUAUUAUUCCACAGCUCCAUAAUGCCCAUCAUCAGUAUCAUCUGAAGGGGCGACAUACCCAAUUCUUGGAUUCCUCAAGCAACAGAUGUAGUGUUGUCAAUCUCUGAAGAUGCGAAUCCGUCUGCUCGUAGACAACGACAGAGGGAUGAUUGGGAUACUAAAAGCCACAAUGUAUCGAGGCUUAGUGGAGUCAGUCACCAGCCUCUCCGUUGUUUGAACAACUGAACAACAACAUCAAGCGGCGCCAAAACAUAUUGCUGAUCUAAGAGACAUCCGAGACAUGAAUGAGGAAAAAAUGAGAAGGUCGGCCAUUGUUGGCUCAAGCUCAGGAGGUGGUCGAAAGCCUGGCUCCACAUGGUCCUAGCACUACUGUCACACAUGGUGUUCGGGCCACUUCCACCAGUGCUCUGCGGGUUGUCGUUCCGCGAGAGCAAUGACGGGGAGAACAAGAUGAUGCGGUGCUUUGCUCGCCUGCAUUGCGCUGCUUGCGCUCGGGACGUGCAUGUCUACAGAAGAGCCAUGACAUACUUCAAGACUCUAAUUUAUUACCUGACCAUCGCCGCGAGCUUGUCCGGGAUAUCGUACGUUGCCGAUGUGCUGAUCACGAGGCUUCUCAAACACUUUGGCACCAUCGAUCUAGGUGGUGCAUUGGCUCCUCAUGCUUCUCUAGGCCUGUUGUUCUCUCAUUUAGGUCAUGCACAUACGUCUGCCUAGGCCUCGCUCUGAAUGCUUAAGAGGCUGUUUGGUUUGUGACUAACUUUGCCAAAGAUUGCCACACCUAAGGUUAGGCAAGUUUGGCCAACUUAGGUGAGUGUUUGGUUCAAGCCACACCUUAGGCAAG
Triticum dicoccoides is the source of this 1258-nucleotide long non-coding RNA. RefSeq lists it as uncharacterized. Lineage: Eukaryota; Viridiplantae; Streptophyta; Magnoliopsida; Poales; Poaceae. The transcript has 7 exons. The record is from RefSeq and is a predicted model, not a curated record.